AACGAACGCUGGCGGCAGGCCUAACACAUGCAAGUCGAGCGAGGACUUCGGUCCUAGCGGCGGACGGGUGAGGAACGCGUGGGAACGUGCCCUUUGCUUCGGAAUAGCCCUGGGAAACUGGGAGUAAUACCGGAUGAGCCCUUUGGGGGAAAGAUUUAUCGGCGAAGGAUCGGCCCGCGUUGGAUUAGGUAGUUGGUGGGGUAAUGGCCUACCAAGCCGACGAUCCAUAGCUGGUUUGAGAGGAUGAUCAGCCACACUGGGACUGAGACACGGCCCAGACUCCUACGCGAGGCAGCAGUGGGGAAUCUUAGACAAUGGGGGAAACCCUGAUCUAGCCAUGCCGCGUGAGCGAUGAAGGCCUUAGGGUUGUAAAGCUCUUUCAGCUGGGAAGAUAAUGACGGUACCAGCAGAAGAAGCCCCGGCUAACUCCGUG
Molecule: ribosomal RNA, 433 nt
Filed under: uncultured bacterium
Lineage: Bacteria
Description: partial 16S ribosomal RNA
Rfam family: Bacterial small subunit ribosomal RNA
Source: RNAcentral